UGCAUCGGCUGGGAAUCGAACCCUGGCCGCCCGCGUGGCAGGCGAGCAUUCUACCACUGAAUCACCGAUGC
RNAcentral lists this transfer RNA (71 nucleotides) under Cordylochernes scorpioides. RNAcentral's name for it is "tRNA-Gly". The record is from RNAcentral. Lineage: Eukaryota; Metazoa; Arthropoda; Arachnida; Pseudoscorpiones; Chernetidae.